Molecule: long non-coding RNA, 395 nt
Filed under: Mustela putorius furo (domestic ferret)
Lineage: Eukaryota; Metazoa; Chordata; Mammalia; Carnivora; Mustelidae
Description: lncRNA (ENSMPUG00000031149.1)
Source: RNAcentral
CCUCUAACCACGUGAUCUGCAGUGCUUCUCCCCCAUCCAUUCCUGAACAGUCUCUGCCUCCAUUACUUGUCCUCACCACUGCAUCUACCAUGACUGCAGUAACUAUCCCACUUACAUAUAUGAUUGCUCCUUAUCUGUUUGUUUUCCUCGCCAGGACAGAAUCUUCAUGGGGGCGGGAACAACUUGAGGACAUUUUAGAAGCACAAAACGUGCACGCUUAUAGAAAAAUGGAAUUCUGCCACCAAAAGACACCACAGAGGAGGGCAUGCUCAAAUAAGAUGCCACAUGCCAGCAAGAUGAGCUGCAGAACCAGACAGACUGAGGUGAGAAUCCAACUCUGAAAUUACAGUGUGAUUCUGUGCAAGUUCUUUCAAUUACCUGCAAUUAGGCCCCCA